This 622-nucleotide ribosomal RNA is filed under the name uncultured bacterium. RNAcentral describes it as "bacterial SSU rRNA". It matches the Rfam family "Bacterial small subunit ribosomal RNA", at positions 338 to 954 of the family's 1533-position model. The record is from RNAcentral.
CCUACGGGAGGCAGCAGUGGGGAAUUUUGGACAAUGGACGCAAGUCUGAUCCAGCCAUGCCGCGUGUGGGAAGAAGGCCUUCGGGUUGUAAACCACUUUUGUCAGGGAAGAAACGGCUCGGGUUAAUACCUUGGGCUAAUGACGGUACCUGAAGAAUAAGCACCGGCUAACUACGUGCCAGCAGCCGCGGUAAUACGUAGGGUGCAAGCGUUAAUCGGAAUUACUGGGCGUAAAGCGUGCGCAGGCGGUUAUGCAAGACAGAUGUGAAAUCCCCGGGCUCAACCUGGGAACUGCAUUUGUGACUGCAUGGCUAGAGUACGGUAGAGGGGGAUGGAAUUCCGCGUGUAGCAGUGAAAUGCGUAGAUAUGCGGAGGAACACCGAUGGCGAAGGCAAUCCCCUGGACCUGUACUGACGCUCAUGCACGAAAGCGUGGGGAGCAAACAGGAUUAGAUACCCUGGUAGUCCACGCCCUAAACGAUGUCAACUGGUUGUUGGGAGGGUUUCUUCUCAGUAACGUAGCUAACGCGUGAAGUUGACCGCCUGGGGAGUACGGCCGCAAGGUUGAAACUCAAANAGAGUAGACGCGUGAGACGUAGCGACGGACGACGACGAGGGAGGAGG